Long non-coding RNA from Mauremys reevesii (Reeves's turtle), 1049 nucleotides. RefSeq lists it as uncharacterized. The record is from RefSeq and is a predicted model, not a curated record. The transcript is spliced from 5 exons. NCBI's taxonomy places the organism in Eukaryota, Metazoa, Chordata, Testudines, Geoemydidae.
GCUGGGAGCUGAGGCGAGUACCUAGACUGGAGCAGGACUGGGGAAAAGAUCAUAGACAGUAUAGCAGCAAGCCAGAACUUUAUUCCCGCCUUGAAGUGGAAGAGUAAAUCUGUUUUCACCAAAAGAUAAAAUGGAACAACAACAAAACAAGCCAUCAGAAUCUCCACUUCCUACAUCCAAUCACGUUGCUAAGGAAACUCUUUGACCGGUACUUAAAAUUCCUCCCUCUUCCUGCACACACACACAACCACAGCGGUAUUUCAGCAGCCCACAAGCAUUAAUGGAUUUAUCUUCACAACAUGUCCAAAACAUAGAUGGAGGUUACUGGCAACUGAUGGACCAUCUCAGAGUCUCAGGAACAUCAAAGGACCUGGCUCUCUACCGCCGAAGCAGAUCAACAGUGAAAGUCUUCACUGGAUCCUUCAAUGGAAUACAGGAAUCAGUUAUAGGUAAUUAUUAAAGUCCUUGGCAAGUGUUAGUGGCCAAAGUCUUGAUCCAAUAACUGCACAAAGAAAUUGGACGUGGCUGCCUCGACGGUGGACAGCCUCUGCAUCAUCGCUGACAGUUCCUUAUAUGCUCUCUGUGGUGCAAAUUGCUAAGGCACGCUCUGGCAGACACUGCCCCCAACCGGUUCCAGCCAGCUCUCAGUCCCUCAAGUUUUGGCGGGAAACAGAGUUUUGGCAGGAAAAUGCCAUGAAGAAAGUAUACCAAGAUGUAGUUCAAAACUUUCCUACCACAUGCGCCAUCUUGAAUUUUUAGACUCCAUUUUGAAUUGCAGCAACAUGUAUUAUAAUACAUAACAAAAGUAUACACCUUACACUCUCAAUUAGAAUAAGGUUUCAGGAUUGUCAUGUGUCUGUAUAUCACUAAGGCCUAGAAUUGCUGUCUAGUCAGUGUGAAGCAAUGAAAACAGCUACAGACAUGGAUGAGGACUUGUUUUGUUCAGAAUAUCACCAGGACGAAUCAUCGCUGGGUUUCAUACUCUGUUACCAUCCAGCAAUGAGGUUCUCAACUAUUUUGACUUUGUGAAUUACACUUGUGCCAUGUAA